Molecule: small nuclear RNA, 137 nt
Filed under: Propithecus coquereli (Coquerel's sifaka)
Lineage: Eukaryota; Metazoa; Chordata; Mammalia; Primates; Indriidae
Description: U1 spliceosomal RNA (ENSPCOG00000000991.1)
Source: RNAcentral
AUAGAUCUGGCAGAGGAGACACCAUGAUCCUGAAGGUGGUUUUCCCAGAGUGAGGCUUUUCCAUUCCACUCCAGGGUUUUUUGAGUAAAGCUCUGAGGGAUAUUCAAAGCUUCAACAUAGCACAAUAUUUAAGUGGA